GGAAGAAGCGAAAGUGACGGUACCUGCAGAAGAAGCACCGGCUAACUACGUGCCAGCAGCCGCGGUAAUACGUAGGGUGCGAGCGUUAUCCGGAAUUAUUGGGCGUAAAGAGCUCGUAGGCGGUUUGUCGCGUCUGUCGUGAAAGUCCGGGGCUUAACCCCGGAUCUGCGGUGGGUACGGGCAGACUAGAGUGCAGUAGGGGAGACUGGAAUUCCUGGUGUAGCGGUGGAAUGCGCAGAUAUCAGGAGGAACACCGAUGGGCGAAGGCAGGUCUCUGGGCUGUAACUGACGCUGAGGAGCGAAAGCAUGGGGAGCAAACAGGAUUAGAUACCCUGGUAGUCCACGCCGUAAACGAUGUCGACUAGCCGUUGGGAUCCUUGAGAUCUUAGUGGCGCAGCUAACGCAUUAAGUCGACCGCCUGGGGGAUACGGCCGCAAGGUUAAAACUCAAAUGAAUUGACGGGGGCCCGCACAAGCGGUGGAGCAUGUGGUUUAAAUUCGAAGCAACGCGAAGAACCUUACCAGGCCUUGACAUGCAGAGUAACC
RNAcentral lists this ribosomal RNA (545 nucleotides) under uncultured bacterium. Its description in RNAcentral is "bacterial SSU rRNA". It matches the Rfam family "Bacterial small subunit ribosomal RNA", at positions 443 to 998 of the family's 1533-position model. The record is from RNAcentral.